RNAcentral lists this long non-coding RNA (1801 nucleotides) under Homo sapiens (human). Its description in RNAcentral is "HSALNT0308128". Lineage: Eukaryota; Metazoa; Chordata; Mammalia; Primates; Hominidae. The record is from RNAcentral.
GUCUUUAUUUAUCCGUUGGAUGUGACAUCCGACUUCCUCUUUAGUUGCGCCAGGCUGUGUGCGUGGUGCGGGAUGGGGACCCCUGGAGACCGCCCUUUCGGAUCGGGCCGGUCCCUCUGAGGAGGAGGUGAAGUCGGCUCGGAGCCUCCACUCACAGGCGGUGGGCUACGGUCUGCCUGUGUCUACCAGCUUUGUUGGCUUUCCUUGCUGAGACACCACACAGGGCAGCUCUGGAGUCCUGGCUUGGAGAGGUGGGGUUAUUUGCUGAAUCGGAUUGACAGUCCUCGCCGCAGGUCUGUGGAAUGGUAACAGCCACCUUCGCGGACUCUGCUGCUCUUACAUUGACACUAACAGGCACCAAACCAAGUUGCAUGACAAAACUCUUUGCAGCUCUUUCCACGAAAAAAGGAAACGGCUUGCUACCCCCACCCCCGUUUAUUCGUGGGUAGUGAAAGGAACUUUGUUUUGGGGUCCUGGUAGGCAGAGAGGCAAUCUUGACUUUGACUACAGGGUCAGACUUGCCAGCCCUUGGUAUUAAAUACCUCAAACUUGUCCAUGGGUUGCAUCUGCUGCCUUGCGUUCUCCAGUUAGUAUCCAGCCAGAACAUCUUGCAACUGAAGUGCAGUCCGUCACCACAAUGAUUUGCAAUGAUUUGUUCUCCUGCCUUUUAGAUUCAAUUUUUUUAGCUUGUUUUUCCUAAAUAUUUACAGGUGUUUGGCGGGGUUGGUGAUGGGGAAAUCACUGAGUUAAAAUUCAUGUUAUUGUUAAAUUUAGUAAGAAGAGCAGCUGGUACUUGUGAUGAAUGUAUUUGUUCUCAUUGGUUCCAGAGCAUUUAAAAGUGUAAGUUGAUAUCAGGAUUUCCUUCACCUUUUGGUCACAUACUUUGCCAACUGUUAGACAUUUGCGUAUUUUAAAUCCUACAGUUUUAGCGUGUCUUGGGCCUGUCAUCUUUGCUAGUACACGUUGCUGUACUUGUCUGUUAAUCCCUAGAUCUUCAAAGUACAAAGAAUGGUUCUAAUAGGUAUUGUUAUCACAUAUAAGAAAGAACAUCACAUAGAAGUUUAGAGUUGUAAGGACUCUAAGGAUGAUCUAGCCCAAACCCUUCAUUUUCUAAAUGACAAAACAGAUCUGGAGAAGUGAAGCAAGUCUUCCUCAAAGAAUGCCAGCUAUAGGCCUGCAGGACUGGGACUAGCUCUUGUCUUCUGCCUUCCAGGGGAAGUAUCAAGGUGACAUGAGGGGACAGGAAAUAUUGUCCCUAAAUGUUCUAAGAGUGGAUCUCCCAUGUAUUCAAGCAAUCGAGGGGUGUUUAAUGAGCUCCAUCUACAUAGCAAUGAUACAGCAUAGCUCUGCUGGGGCUCUCUGCUCUCCCCUUCUCCACAAAAGGGAAGGACAGAGAUGGGGUCUCACUGUGUUUCCCAGGCUGGUCACAAACUCCUGGCCUCAAGCCAUCUUCCCAUCUCAGCCUUCAAAGUGUGGGAUUACAGGGAACAAAAGGGUACAUUGUAAGGAAUCUGUUUCCUGGACUGGGAAGCCAUAUUUCAGCAACCUAUGCCCAGCUACCCCACCCAAUGUGACUUGUUACACAUCUGGGAUGCAGAUCUGUUAGCGCUGCCUUGCUUGGAAGCCCUUACUGACAGUGAGCAGAUGAAUAAUUAACCUAAUAAGUUCUCGUGCGAUCUCUUUGCUGCCUGGCGUCAUGUUCAGAGAUGAGACUUCCUGAGCAGAAGCUGAAACAAUUUUUUUCUAUGACAUUGCAAAUAAGGACCAUGCUUGAAUGAAAUAAAAACUGACUGCUCGUUCA